CUUGGUGACUCGUCGGUGGGGAAACACCUCUUCCCAUUCCGAACAGAGUAGUUAAGCCCACUUGAGCCGAUGGUAGUCCUUCGGGGCAAGAGUAGGUAGUCGCCAAGA
This 108-nucleotide ribosomal RNA is filed under the name bacterium. The record is from RNAcentral.